UAGUCCACGCCGUAAACGAUGGAUACUCGGUGUGUGGUUUUCGGACUGCGUGCCUUAGCGAAAGCGUUAAGUAUCCCACCUGGGGAGUACGUCGGCAACGAUGAAACUCAAAGGAAUUGACGGGGGUCCGCACAAGCGGUGGAGUAUGUGGUUUAAUUCGAUGAUGCGCGAGGAACCUUACCUAGGCUCGAAUUGUACUGGACGGUAUUAGAAAUAGUACUUCCUUCGGGUCAGUAUGAAGGUGCUGCAUGGUUGUCGUCAGCUCGUGCCGUGAGGUGUUGGGUUAAGUCCCGCAACGAGCGCAACCCCUAUUCUUAGUUGCCAUCAGGUUAUGCUGGGGACUCUAAGGAGACUGCCUGCGCAAGCAGUGAGGAAGGUGGGGAUGACGUCAAAUCAUCAUGGCCCUUACGCCUAGGGCUACACACGUACUACAAUGGUUGGUACAAAGAGCAGCAAGCUAGUAAUAGCAAGCGAAUCUCAUAAAGCCAAUCUCAGUUCGGAUUGGGGU
RNAcentral lists this ribosomal RNA (508 nucleotides) under uncultured bacterium. RNAcentral's name for it is "bacterial SSU rRNA". It matches the Rfam family "Bacterial small subunit ribosomal RNA", at positions 791 to 1304 of the family's 1533-position model. The record is from RNAcentral.